Molecule: non-coding RNA, 155 nt
Organism: Macrostomum lignano
Lineage: Eukaryota; Metazoa; Platyhelminthes; Macrostomidae
Source: Rfam
AACUCUGAGCGGUGGAUCACUCGGCUCGUGCGUCGAUGAAAGAGCGCAGCCAACUGCGUGAAUUAGUGUGAAUUGCAGGAUAUCUUGAACAUCGACAUCUUGAACGCAUAUUGCGGCCUCAGGUCUCCCCUGUGGCCACGCCUGGCCGAGGGUCG